Molecule: small RNA, 145 nt
Filed under: Pan troglodytes (chimpanzee)
Lineage: Eukaryota; Metazoa; Chordata; Mammalia; Primates; Hominidae
Source: RNAcentral
UAAGUUAGAGGUGAUUAAAACAAUGGACAAUAUUUUUUUUUUUUGAGACUGAGUUUCGCUCUUGUUGUCCAGGCUGGAGUGCACUGGCACAAUCUCAGCUCACUGCAACCUCUGCCUCCUGGGUUCAAGCAAUUCUCCUGCCUCA